AUCUAUGGCCAUGCUACCCGGAACAAGCCCGAUCCCGUCUGACCUUGGAAGCUAAGCAGGGUCAGGCCUGGUUAGUACUUGGAUGGGAGACCACCUAAGAUGACCAGGUGCUGUAGGCG
Pteropus alecto (black flying fox) is the source of this 119-nucleotide non-coding RNA. Lineage: Eukaryota; Metazoa; Chordata; Mammalia; Chiroptera; Pteropodidae. The record is from Rfam.